AACUACGUACCAUAGCCCGCCUAGACAUGCAUCUAACUCCCCGGCGUUAAGUUGGAUAUCGCUCGGUUAGUACCAAGGUGGGGGACCACUUGGGAAUCCCGGGUGCUGUAGUUU
This 114-nucleotide ribosomal RNA is filed under the name Kwoniella dejecticola CBS 10117. Lineage: Eukaryota; Fungi; Basidiomycota; Tremellomycetes; Tremellales; Cryptococcaceae. The record is from RNAcentral.